GUGUUUGUUUGAUCUUAUAGGUUUCUUCAUAUUCCGACUUCCUAUUUUGGGUGUUACAAUCAAAAUAUCAGUAUGGCAUAAGUAUGGAACAAAUGAGACUUUUGCGUCAAGCUGCUGAUAUUAAGGUGUUAUAGCGUUUGUUUGGUAGGCUUUGUAGCCACUUAUGUUUGCAUUUUGUCCAAAACUCAUGAAGACCGAUGGUAUACCUGUAAAGUUCAGUUUUAGGGAUUAAAGGAUCAUCUUUGGCUUAGUUAUGGAAAACAAUGAGUUGUCAGUGUUUUGCUACUGAUAAGGUUUGCAGUUUUGCCAUCCAGUCUAAGUUACUGAUACCAGGAUCUUCACAGGAAUAGUCUGCAUACCAUAGCAGUGCAACCCUGGAGCCAAUUCAGAUCAUAGGGAGCAGUAGAGGUCUGAAGGUGUUGCAUUGCAGGGUAUGGGCAAUUUUGAAAUUUCAAAAAGGCAUGAUUGCAGCCUAUUCAUUAAUUUUCGGUUUUGAGCUAUGAGAAGAUUACUUCUUAUUUUUUAGCUAUAACAGUUUUCAGUGUUCUAUCUUUCUAGUCUUCUAUAUUAAAUAGAAUACAAGUAAAGCAAUUUAUUCUGAUCAGUCAACAGUGAAUCAGGAUGUUGGUUAAUGCCAGGGAUUCACUUGCUGCUAAACUGUUAACAACUGAAACUUGCCUACCUAGUGAUGGAACUAUCAAUCACUCCAGGACAGAGAGAAAGAAGUACAUAGCCGUGGUUCGCCCAAUAGGCCUCCGUGUGGUACCUGCCCAUAAGGAGGCUGACAUGGGCGUAGGGUGCUUUUUGGUUCACUGUUGAGAGGACUGUCAUGGAAGCUCAGUAUGGCUUGAACAGGGAGGAGGAAGCAGUUAAUAGCCUGAUUGUAGAGGCCAUAUGUGAAUGUGACAGGGAAGUUGCCAAAGUUAUUAUGUCUUGGACUCCUGAAUCAGGCCAAGACCGAAGCUGCCAAGAAGGAUAGCUGAUGAGUGUGUGGCGCAUCGUGGGGAUGGAAAGAUCACGAGUGCAGAGACAUGCUGUUGGACAUGGACAAUCCUACUGCGCGCGCUAUACGGCGAUGUAACAUGGAAUGGAGGGUGCCUGCCUGCCUGCCUGUUGGUGAAAUAAAUGGUCAGCUUCUUCUUCUCGACAGAGGAAUGCUGCUCGCCCGGCUUGCUUGAAGACCUGGCCUUCAUUUGUAUUCCAGAGAUGCUACUCUGCACGCCUGCUUACUGGAGCACGCACCAUUGAUCAGGAACCAGACUGCAGCAUCUUCUGAAGAAUUCGACGCUUGUUGUCAUGCUAUUAACUGAAGAAAUCGACACCCAGCGGUUGGCGCCAAGAGAGGAGAUGAGCACCAUUUACUGUCGAUCGCCUCUGGGAAGAUGACCCAGGUGGUAGUGGUGUAUGGAAUGGGUGCAGAAGCAGAGCCAUCCCAUAAUUUCGCCAUCAGGCCUUCAUCAUGCACUUGUCGAACCUGUGAAAUUUCUCUUUUGAAGUGUACAUUCAUUCAUAAAAAAGCAAGGAGAAGAUGAUCUGUGGUCGGUAACCACAUGCUAUUAGACAAUUCUGUGUAUAUUAGACAGUUGGCGCACCUUUCCAUCUGCUUACAGUUAC
RNAcentral lists this ribosomal RNA (1614 nucleotides) under Triticum aestivum (bread wheat). Its description in RNAcentral is "partial small subunit ribosomal RNA". The record is from RNAcentral. Lineage: Eukaryota; Viridiplantae; Streptophyta; Magnoliopsida; Poales; Poaceae.